Long non-coding RNA from Mercenaria mercenaria, 537 nucleotides. RefSeq lists it as uncharacterized. The record is from RefSeq and is a predicted model, not a curated record. NCBI's taxonomy places the organism in Eukaryota, Metazoa, Mollusca, Bivalvia, Venerida, Veneridae. The transcript is spliced from 2 exons.
GUCAAAGGUCAAGGUCACAAUGACCAGGAACAGUUAAACACUUAGACAUCAAGAAUAGUUUAACUUAGUGUGCUCUGUACAUUCACUGAGAAGGUUUGUGUGGGACUAUUUAUCGGCGUUAGUGAUAGUUCUAGUUCAUUAAGGAGUUAGCCUUUAAAGUUCAGUGUUUAAAGUGGAAUUAUAUGCAUUUUUUCAAGUUAAAAUCCAGUUGAAAUAGAUGUUUGUGUAAAAUAGGUGUAGAAAAUUAUAGCUUUUAACCCAAUAUACCAAACUCUUUCUGUUACCAGUACGAAAUAAUAACACUGCAAAUAUGACUUUUCUUAUUUUGACAGGAGCAGUAGUUUUUAAGAGUAUUCAAACUGCACUCAGGAGUUGCUUCCCUUCAACUUCAGAAAUCUCUAUCUAUAGGUCUGCACAGAUUGAUUGGUCAGUUCACAAACAUUUUGUUAGAAAGUCUGCAAAGCCAUCGACUUGAAUACGUUGGUUAUUUUCAAUGUACCAACAAUAUAGAAAUAAAAUUUGUUUAUAAAUUUGAAA